RNAcentral lists this ribosomal RNA (500 nucleotides) under uncultured bacterium. RNAcentral describes it as "partial 16S ribosomal RNA". It matches the Rfam family "Bacterial small subunit ribosomal RNA", at positions 30 to 523 of the family's 1533-position model. The record is from RNAcentral.
AUUGAACGCUGGCGGCAGGCCUAACACAUGCAAGUCGAGCGGCAGCGGGACCUUCGGGUUGCCGGCGAGCGGCGGACGGGUGAGUAAUGCCUAGGAAUCUGCCUGUUAGUGGGGGAUAACGCGGGGAAACUCGCGCUAAUACCGCAUACGUCCUACGGGAGAAAGCGGGGGCUCUUCGGACCUCGCGCUAACAGAUGAGCCUAGGUCGGAUUAGCUAGUUGGUGGGGUAAUGGCUCACCAAGGCGACGAUCCGUAACUGGUCUGAGAGGAUGAUCAGUCACACUGGAACUGAGACACGGUCCAUACUCCUACGGGAGGCAGCAGUGGGGAAUAUUGGACAAUGGGCGAAAGCCUGAUCCAGCCAUGCCGCGUGUGUGAAGAAGUUCUUCGGAUUGUAAAGCACUUUAAGUCGGGAGGAAGGGCUGUAGGUUAAUACCCUGCAGUUUUGACGUUACCGACAGAAUAAGCACCGGCUAACUUCGUGCCAGCAGCCGCCGUAA